Non-coding RNA from Cinara cedri, 464 nucleotides. The record is from the annotation of a GenBank genome assembly. NCBI's taxonomy places the organism in Eukaryota, Metazoa, Arthropoda, Insecta, Hemiptera, Aphididae.
GUCCGUUUUAUAUACCGAAGUAAUAAAGAAAUACACUAAACUUUAACCUUUAUAGGUACCGGUCUCUUUGAACGCGGAUAAUUUUAUAAAGACUCUUUGAUACCUCGCGCUCUCUCACACUCUCUCUCUCUAUAUAUAUAUAUGUAUACUUCAUUAGGUUUUUUUUUUCUUUUCUUGUUUUCAGAACUUCAUCGUUGGACUACAUUAUAAUGGCAAAGUCCCGUGUAAAUUUCGUUAUUUAUUAUUAUGCAAAAUAUAAAACUAGUUUAAAAGCGCAUCGAACCUAAUUUAAUUCGCGCGACGCUAACAAGUUUUGAGUAUUGGCGAGAGGAAAUAUAAUUCUUUUCCUCGUCGUUAUACACGCACAUAAUCUAUAUUAUUAAACGCGGAUAAAAUGAGACGUUACGGGUUUUAAAAUACUGCUGAUGGACAGAAGUGGUGUGCCUAUGUGCCUACAUAUAAUA